CUGGAAUGAAUGGUGAAUGUACUAUAUCCCCAGUGGAAAGAAUAAAUGACUUUGUUACUCAUGUUACAUGUAACACCUUAUUAAUAUCAAAAUAUCAAAAGUUUGAGGGCAAUGCCAAUGCUAAGACUAUUUAAGCUGCUAUUUUUUAAGAUUCGUUUAAUAUAUUUAUUAUCAAGAUAAAUUGUCUAGUCGAGACCUCGAACUAUUGUUGUCUAGUUAUUGUCAUAUGUUAUACUAAACUACGUUGAACUAGUGUUCUGAAAAGUAUUGCUUUAAUUUACCGAUGUACAAGAUGCGGAACGCGGAAUAUGUUUGCUGUUGACAAGGUAAUCUGUCCCAGGGG
Non-coding RNA from Paramuricea clavata, 343 nucleotides. NCBI's taxonomy places the organism in Eukaryota, Metazoa, Cnidaria, Anthozoa, Malacalcyonacea, Plexauridae. The record is from the annotation of a GenBank genome assembly.